CAGUCUUUCUUCAUAGAUAUGAUUUACCAUGGAGUAAAUCAGAGUAGUCGUACAAUUUUACAGCCUGAAUUUCUCACUUUCUCCCAUGUUACAAUGUACACAUACACUCUUAACAUUUAUAAUUUUUAAUGGAUGUAAAAUUUUCUAUCAAUAGAUGGAGCAAAUUUAUUUAAUCUACUAUUAUUA
Molecule: long non-coding RNA, 186 nt
Organism: Pipistrellus kuhlii (Kuhl's pipistrelle)
Lineage: Eukaryota; Metazoa; Chordata; Mammalia; Chiroptera; Vespertilionidae
Exons: 3
Source: RefSeq, a predicted model, not a curated record